GGAAUCUUCCACAAUGGGCGAAAGCCUGAUGGAGCGACGCCGCGUGAGGGAUGAAGGCCUUAGGGUUGUAAACCUCUAAAAGAGGGACGAUAAUGACGGUACCUCUUGAAUAGCACCGGCUAACUCCGUGCCAGCAGCCGCGGUAAUACGGAGGGUGCAAGCGUUAUCCGGAAUCACUGGGCGUAAAGGGCGCGUAGGCGGUCUGUUAAGUCCGAUGUUAAAUCCCGGGGCUCAACCCCGGAUAAGCGUUGGAUACUGGCAGGCUAGACGGUUGGAGAGGCGAGUGGAAUUACCAGUGUAGCGGUGGAAUGCGUAGAUACUGGUAGGAACACCCAUUGCGAAGGCAGCUCGCUGGACAACACGUGACGCUGAGGCGCGAAAGUGUGGGGAGCAAACC
Molecule: ribosomal RNA, 397 nt
Filed under: uncultured bacterium
Lineage: Bacteria
Description: bacterial SSU rRNA
Rfam family: Bacterial small subunit ribosomal RNA
Source: RNAcentral